UUACAAAGGGCAGGGAAGCAUCGCCCGCCGCGCCCCGCGCCCGUCAUGCCCUUAGAUGUUCUGGGCCGCACGCGCGUUACAAUGGCAUGUAAAGCGAGUGCUGUCGCCAGUAUUACCAGGGCUGAAAAGCCUUGGUAAUCCCUAGUCCCUGCCUAGACUGGGCUAGAUCUUUGCAAUUAUUGGUCUUAAACGGAGGAAUUAUAGGAAUCGCCAGUCA
This 217-nucleotide ribosomal RNA is filed under the name Fuligo cinerea. Its description in RNAcentral is "partial small subunit ribosomal RNA". It matches the Rfam family "Eukaryotic small subunit ribosomal RNA", at positions 1297 to 1630 of the family's 1831-position model. The record is from RNAcentral. Lineage: Eukaryota; Evosea; Eumycetozoa; Physariida; Physaraceae.